UACGAAGGGGGCUAGCGUUGUUCGGAAUUACUGGGCGUAAAGCGCGCGCAGGCGGCUAUCCAAGUCAGUGGUGAAAGCCCGGAGCUCAACUCCGGAACUGCCAUUGAAACUGUUUAGCUUGAGGAUGAGAUAGGUGAGUGGAAUUCCCAGUGUAGAGGUGAAAUUCGUAGAUAUUGGGAAGAACACCGGUGGCGAAGGCGCUCUACUGGACCACAACUGACACUCAGGGACGAAAGCUAGGGGAGCGAAUGGG
RNAcentral lists this ribosomal RNA (253 nucleotides) under uncultured bacterium. RNAcentral describes it as "partial 16S ribosomal RNA". It matches the Rfam family "Bacterial small subunit ribosomal RNA", at positions 524 to 776 of the family's 1533-position model. The record is from RNAcentral.